RNAcentral lists this ribosomal RNA (492 nucleotides) under uncultured bacterium. Its description in RNAcentral is "partial 16S ribosomal RNA". It matches the Rfam family "Bacterial small subunit ribosomal RNA", at positions 29 to 507 of the family's 1533-position model. The record is from RNAcentral.
AGUGAACGCUGGCGGUAGGCCUAACACAUGCAAGUCGAACGGCAGCACAGUAAGAGCUUGCUCUUACGGGUGGCGAGUGGCGGACGGGUGCGGAAUACAUCGGAAUCUACUUUUUCGUGGGGGAUAACGUAGGGAAACUUACGCUAAUACCGCAUACGACCUACGGGUGAAAGCAGGGGAUCUUCGGACCUUGCGCGAUUGAAUGAGCCGAUGUCGGAUUAGCUAGUUGGCGGGGUAAAGGCCCACCAAGGCGACGAUCCGUAGCUGGUCUGAGAGGAUGAUCAGACACACUGGAACGGAGACACGGUCCAGACUCCUACGGGAGGCAGCAGUGGGGAAUAUUGGACAAUGGGCGCAAGCCUGAUCCAGCCAUACCGCGUGGGUGAAGAAGGCCUUCGGGUUGUAAAGCCCUUUUGUUGGGAAAGAAAAGCAGCAGGUUAAUACCCCGCUGUUCUGACGGUACCCAAAGAAUAAGCACCGGCUAACUUCGUG